Molecule: ribosomal RNA, 253 nt
Filed under: uncultured bacterium
Lineage: Bacteria
Description: partial 16S ribosomal RNA
Rfam family: Bacterial small subunit ribosomal RNA
Source: RNAcentral
UACGUAGGGGGCAAGCGUUGUCCGGAUUUAUUGGGCGUAAAGAGCGUGUAGGCGGCUAGGUAGGUCCGUUGUGAAAACUCGAGGCUCAACCUCGAGACGUCGAUGGAAACCAUCUGGCUAGAGUCCGGAAGAGGAGAGUGGAAUUCCUGGUGUAGCGGUGAAAUGCGUAGAUAUCUGGAGGAACACCGGUGGCGAAGGCGGCGUUCUGGACUGUUACUGACACUGAUGAACGAAAGCCAGGGGAGCAAACGGG